This 405-nucleotide ribosomal RNA is filed under the name Triticum aestivum (bread wheat). RNAcentral describes it as "partial small subunit ribosomal RNA". Lineage: Eukaryota; Viridiplantae; Streptophyta; Magnoliopsida; Poales; Poaceae. The record is from RNAcentral.
AUGCAGUACGGCGCGGCGGCCGAGCAGGCGUGGUACAUGCCGGCGAUGCCGGUCACCUUGGCGGCGGAAACGGCGGCGGAGCGGGUGGAGCGCCUGGCGUCGGAGAGCGCCGUGGUGGUGUUCAGCGUGAGCAGCUGCUGCAUGUGCCACGCCGUGAAGCACCUCUUCUGCGGCAUGGGCGUGCACCCCACCGUGCACGAGCUGGACCUCGACCCGCGCGGCCUCGAACUGGAGCGCGCCCUCGCCGACCUCCUCGGCUGCGCCGUCCCCGGAGGAGCCGCACCGGUCGUUCCCGUCGUAUUCAUCGGCGGCAAGCUGGUCGGCGCCAUGGACCGCGUGAUGGCCGCGCACAUCAACGGCUCCCUCGUGCCGCUGCUCAAGGAGGCCGGCGCUCUCUGGCUCUGA